Morus notabilis is the source of this 706-nucleotide long non-coding RNA. RefSeq lists it as uncharacterized. NCBI's taxonomy places the organism in Eukaryota, Viridiplantae, Streptophyta, Magnoliopsida, Rosales, Moraceae. The record is from RefSeq and is a predicted model, not a curated record. The transcript has 3 exons.
UGGGCUUCAACAACUCACCUCUUUAACUUCACUUUCUAUCAUAUGGUGUCGUAACUUGCAGACAAUUACAGAAAAAGGGCUUCCGUCCUCUCUUCAAAACUUUGAGUUGUCUGUCUGUCCUUUGCUGGAGAAAAAGUGCGAGAGGGAGAAAGGGGAGUAUUGGAACAAGAUUGCUCACAUCCCCACCAUUACCAUCAAUAUAAGGCGUAUAUAAAUUAACGAGAACCAGAUACUAGGGGAGUUAUGAACGUGGCUUUCUUUGAUAGUAGCAGAAACAAGUAUGCCUGCCAUAUGUGUGUAUGCGUAAGAUCAUGCAAGCCCGGCUUUGACAAAAACAUCAUGUUCUGAUCAGGGGUGUAAGCCUCUGCAGUCUUGGAUAGACCAUUUUCCAUAUUGGUCAUUGAUUUGACAAGAGUAAACGGCUCCAUGUUCCUCAAGAAUAGCUUUCAAAUCUUUUGUUACAAAGGUGGCACAAAAUGAUUGGUGAAGUGCCGAGUCAGCAAAGACGAGCCAAUAGGAAAAUGACAGAAAGUCAGUUAUUGUUGGUUGAGGGUCAAAUAUUGGACUUGUUGCCAUGGCUAAAAGAAAGUAUAAUUUGCAAUACAUUUAGGAUUUGGGGAUGAACAAUCACUUAUGUGACAUCUUAGUCUUGGUUUUCUUGGCAAUAAGUUUUGGAAAUUUGAGAAAGAACUCAAGAACUAAUUUC